UAAAUAACAAAUUCUACAAGUAGUACAAGUCACCAGCCAGCCUGGCAAGAGAAUUGCUAACAACGUGGUGCUGAGGGAGAAUGGGGAUCGAAGCAAUUAGGGUGCUCAGAGCAACACGUCAGACUUUUGCCGGCGACACCAUUAUGCUCCGGGAAUCCGCCGCCGAAGCCCGGAAGAAAUUCGAGGAGGCGAACGAAGCCACCCGCUUCAUCUCAACCAUGAUCGUCCAGGCCAAGCUCAACGAUCGCGGAGGUUACGAAGUGAAGCCUGGAAAAGAGCAUGUUGGGGCAACACUGGAAAUUCCUUCUGAAGAGAUUCUCAAGACAUCCGCAUAAAAGAAGUGAACGGGGAAGCCAUUAUCAUGGAUUAGUACAAUGAUGGAUCUUUUGGUGAGAAUGUUCGAUUGUUCUUCAUUUUAUGCUUUCUUCUGAAGUCUAUCAAAGAAAAAAGAAUAUUGUUUUCUUUUUCGCUCACAUCAGCAGAUACCCUCAUGUAACACAUACUUGUCUUUGCUAUAUUAGUCAUUGAAUAACAACCCGAGUAGAACAGUGAGUUUAUGGCUUUGAGUGAUGUGUUUUGUGUUGUUUCCAUUAACUACAGACAGCAGUUUACAAUGCAUCGUACUUUACCUAGUUCCAUGCAUGAAAAGAAGUCGAGAACUUCAAGAUGGGUAGAAUAUUUUGUGUAUGAAAACAAUCACGUUUUUCAGAUUUUAUCAUUCGACUUUUGUUAUUGC
This is a non-coding RNA of Erythranthe guttata (spotted monkey flower), 736 nucleotides long. The record is from RefSeq and is a predicted model, not a curated record. Lineage: Eukaryota; Viridiplantae; Streptophyta; Magnoliopsida; Lamiales; Phrymaceae.